AUCCAUUUCCUGGGACACCCACAGUCUUUGUUCUCCUUAGGAUUAAGGUAGAAAAUUCACACAGAUGAGCUAAUGAGAUUUUUCUAAAUGCUUGCUAAAUCACUAAACACAUCUAAAUACUGCCAUUCACUUAUCCAUUCACUUAGCAAACCAUUGGAACAUCUACUGUGUAGUGUGCAGCGUGUGGUUGGUAUACCUGACUGAAGGAACCAGUAAUAACAAAAUCCUCUCGCCCUCGGUUUUGAUUGUGGCAUAAACAUGUAAUUAUUAUUACUUAAUGCAGUGAAUAUAAACCUGGAGCUGAUUUAUGCAUUGGGUAAAGGAUUAAGCUAGAUGAUAUCCAAGGGGUCUGACUGAAUCAUAUCACAAUUCCUAUAACACAUUUUGCAUAUUAAUCCAUGUACCUGAUUAGGUUAUAAAAUUAAAGGUACUUAAUACUAGGAUUUACAUUUUGAAACUAUUUUAACAGCCCAUAUUUCUCAAUUAUUUUGACACUUGA
This 499-nucleotide long non-coding RNA is filed under the name Bos taurus (domestic cattle). Its description in RNAcentral is "long non-coding RNA NONBTAT001126". Lineage: Eukaryota; Metazoa; Chordata; Mammalia; Artiodactyla; Bovidae. The record is from RNAcentral.